GGCGGCCCAGUAUCAGGACCCGGUUAAGCUAAAAGCUCACCUGUGCCUUUCGUCCGGUUGAUUAACACACCUGAGGCCAGCUGAUUGGGUUUUCCCGUUGAAUGCGGACUGGUGGUCUUGCUUUCCCACAUGGAGCUGUGGGAAGUCUUGAGAUUUGGGACAAAGGAGGCCUACAACUCUGCCUGGAUUACCUCAUGCCUUUGGUCCCUGAAGUGGCCCGUCCGUCUCUCUGGCCCCUCUUCAGGAACAAGUAAGGAAGGAAGGAGAUUACAACUCAUAAAAAACAAUGACUUAGUUCAGCUGGUAUUACAACCCAACCUCCUCACCAAACCGGCCGAUUGAGGAGGACAGAAGAAAAUCCGGAGGCUGAAACUAUUUCUCUAAUGCAAAGACGGGAUUCCCCACUUUCCUGAAUGUUAUAAUUGAAUGCAAAUAAAGAUAUAUUCUGCGUU
Molecule: long non-coding RNA, 452 nt
Organism: Gasterosteus aculeatus aculeatus (three-spined stickleback)
Lineage: Eukaryota; Metazoa; Chordata; Actinopteri; Perciformes; Gasterosteidae
Source: Ensembl